GACGAACGCUGGCGGCGUGCUUAACACAUGCAAGUCGAACGGAAAGGCCCUGCUUUUGUGGGGUGCUCGAGUGGCGAACGGGUGAGUAACACGUGAGUAACCUGCCCUUGACUUUGGGAUAACUUCAGGAAACUGGGGCUAAUACCGGAUAGGAGCUCCUGCUGCAUGGUGGGGGUUGGAAAGUUUCGGCGGUUGGGGAUGGACUCGCGGCUUAUCAGCUUGUUGGUGGGGUAGUGGCUUACCAAGGCUUUGACGGGUAGCCGGCCUGAGAGGGUGACCGGCCACAUUGGGACUGAGAUACGGCCCAGACUCCUACGGGAGGCAGCAGUGGGGAAUAUUGCACAGUGGGCGGAAGCCUGAUGCAGCAACGCCGCGUGCGGGAUGACGGCCUUCGGGUUGUAAACCGCUUUCGCCUGUGACGAAGCGUGAGUGACGGUAAUGGGUAAGGAAGCACCGGCUAACUACGUG
Molecule: ribosomal RNA, 468 nt
Filed under: uncultured bacterium
Lineage: Bacteria
Description: partial 16S ribosomal RNA
Rfam family: Bacterial small subunit ribosomal RNA
Source: RNAcentral